CUGACAGUCCCCCGACAACCGAUUUUGGGACUGACGCGGUCGUGCGCUAAUCUUCAGGAGUCAGCGCGCGGGACACA
This 77-nucleotide transfer RNA is filed under the name Streptomyces hygroscopicus subsp. jinggangensis TL01. RNAcentral describes it as "tRNA-Ile". Lineage: Bacteria; Bacillati; Actinomycetota; Actinomycetes; Kitasatosporales; Streptomycetaceae. The record is from RNAcentral.